This 1637-nucleotide long non-coding RNA is filed under the name Homo sapiens (human). RNAcentral describes it as "HSALNT0279247". The record is from RNAcentral. Lineage: Eukaryota; Metazoa; Chordata; Mammalia; Primates; Hominidae.
GACCUGUGUGCUUGGUUUCCAUAGGCAGGCAGCAAGGGCAGAGGCACAGGUGCAGUGGAAGGGCUGGGCAGGGGUGUCCGGGGCCGUGUGGAAGGGCUGGGCAGGGGUGUCCGGGGCCGUGUGGAAGGGCUGGGCAGGGGUGUCCGGGGCCGUGUGGAAGGGCUGGGCAGGGGUGUCCGGGGCCCUGUGGAAGAGCUGGGCAGGGGUGUCCGGGGCCGUGUGGAAGGGCUGGGCAGGGGUGUCCGGGGACGUGUGGAAGGGCUGGGCAGGGGUGUCCGGGGCCGUGUGGAAGGGCUGGGCAGGGGUGUCCGGGGCCGUGUGCAGCCUUGCUUCACCCGCAGGAGCACCUAGGAUACAGAUGAUGGGCAGAUACCCAGGGGUCUCCAGGCGGUGGGAGCGCACCCCAGCAGGCUGCAGGCCUGGGGCGCGGACAGGCCUGACCUGGAGACUCUGGGCCAUGGGAAGCCCCCAUCCACAUGGGCAGGGGGAAUCUGUCAUUCUGAACAGUGAAACAAAGCACGGAGAGCCCACUCAAGUUCUCACUUCUAGAGAAGAGGCAGCCUCGCCUGUGUUCCCAGCUUCAGCCAGAUAUGCAUGCGCUUGCAGAGGCUGGCACGCUCUGAGAGCCAAAGCCAGAGACGGGAAGUGGGAAUCACUCCAAGGCUGGAGGGACACACAGACCCAUGAGGAUGGCCAGAGGAGGACGGAGAUCAUACAGGGAGGUCCUGUUCUAAGAGGUCAUGGGUAGGAACCUUCCGCGAAUGCGGGAGGAAAACCCUCUCCUGGGCCAUCUAGGGCAGCCAGACACAUCACACACAGAGGAAUUCUACACUUCCCACAGGUCAAAGGCAGGCCAUCUACAGGGCAGCAUCCUGGAACUGACUGCAGGUGCUCACCAGCAACAGGGUGCUCACCCACAACAGGAUGCAGAGACAACGCAGCCUUCACACCGGAGGAACCAACAGGGCGAGCCCCAAAUUCUACACUGCUGGUAACACAGAGACACAUUCGUGCAACAAAUCAAGGCUCAGCAAACAAAUGGUGAAGGCUCAUCAUAAAUAUCAAAAGGCAUUGGUGAUAAAUAAGAACAAAAAAUAACAACAUCUGACAAAAUAAUUGAUGAGAGAAUCGUGGGUGCUGUGGGGACGGGUGAGUGUGGACAGAAGUUAAAUCACGCUAAUUUCCGUCUCAUCCAGGAGGAGGAUAGAUACACUGAAUGCUUUUGGAUUUAUUUUAAAAGAUAUGCUUAAAAUGUAAGGGUAAUAAAUAUGUCUUGUGUGUUCAUACACAAAUGUACACACAUAGAAUGCACCAAACUGACAGAGGGAAAUAAACUGAAAAUAACAAGGGUUAGCAAUUAUAUAGUUCUCUGCAGUUUUAUAUGACACUUAACAGACAUUAAUUUAUUUACUCUUCACCCAAAUGCUAUGGUAAGAAGUUAUUAUUAUAUCUGUCAAAAUUGGAGUCAUAUCAACUUAGGAAAAAUUUUAAAGUCUAUUGUCAAACAAUUAGAGAAGGCACAGCUCACAAUCCGAGAAACUUUAAACCAAGUGUAAAAAGCAUGUCUUAUGGCAGUCACAGCACAGUUAAUAAAGCAUAAAAAGGAACUAAUCCAACUUUUUCAUGAUUAACUAGCA